GUGGCUAUGGUUGGGGAUGGUGUUGGCCACCUCCGUGCAGUCGGAGGUCCCGCAAUCGACGGUCGGCGAUGACGACCGGCCGACAAAAAAAAAAAAAAACAUGACUUCGGCUCCUUAAGCCUUGAGAUUCAUGGUAUCUGAUGACUGGGGCUCCAGCCAUGGCUGCAAGCCAUUCCGAGGGACCAGAUGGAGACCUUGGUGACGAGCUCCGACAAUGAAGAUGGGCAAAAAGAAAGAAUAUGGCCUAAAAAAUCCAAAAAUAGGGGUCGGAUUUUUCAAAAAAAAUCGGCAAUAACUAGAACGAAAUCCAUGAUCUCAAGGUAGGAGAAGUGAGAUUAAAUAGAGGACUAAUCGGUCUUACCUUGGUUCCGGCGAUCUCAAGCCACAGCGGUGGCGAACGGCAUUCGGGCGAAGACAAGGGAAAAUGCUGGCAAGUCUUCAACUCAAGACUUUGAUCUUUGAUAGGGAGGUUGAGGGAAGCUUCAUCCCUUUAAAUAGAGUCGGGGAAAAGUGCCGAAGUCCCUCUCGGCGCUAGACUUCACCGGAAAAAUAGGGAAGAAGAUGACUCCCAAUUGGAGUCCGUUUCCUCCCUUCCUCCCAGCCCAUCAUCGGCCCCCC
This 618-nucleotide long non-coding RNA is filed under the name Phoenix dactylifera (date palm). RNAcentral describes it as "long non-coding RNA (PDAC_LNC002553)". The record is from RNAcentral. Lineage: Eukaryota; Viridiplantae; Streptophyta; Magnoliopsida; Arecales; Arecaceae.